CCUACGGGAGGCAGCAGUAGGGAAUCUUGCUCAAUGGGGGAAACCCUGAAGCAGCAACGCCGCGUGGAGGAUGAAGGUUUUCGGAUUGUAAACUCCUUUUGUUAGAGAAGAUAAUGACGGUAUCUAACGAAUAAGCACCGGCUAACUCCGUGCCAGCAGCCGCGGUAAUACGGAGGGUGCAAGCGUUACUCGGAAUCACUGGGCGGAAAGAGCGCGUAGGCGGGAUAGCAAGUCAGAUGUGAAAUCCUAUGGCUUAACCAUAGAACUGCAUUUGAAACUGUUAUUCUAGAGUAUGGGAGAGGUAGGUGGAAUUCUUGGUGUAGGGGUAAAAUCCGUAGAGAUCAAGAGGAAUACUCAGUGCGAAGGCGACCUGCUAGAACAUAACUGACGCUGAUGCGCGAAAGCGUGGGGAGCAAACAGGAUUAGAUACCCCAGUAGUC
RNAcentral lists this ribosomal RNA (440 nucleotides) under uncultured bacterium. RNAcentral's name for it is "partial 16S ribosomal RNA". It matches the Rfam family "Bacterial small subunit ribosomal RNA", at positions 338 to 795 of the family's 1533-position model. The record is from RNAcentral.